ACAAAACACACGUGUCCAGAUGUCACUACUGUCAACAAUGGAAAAGCAGGUGCUCGCGCAUUCGCGCUUAGAGCACGCUGCUUCAAGGGGAAAUCAUGACACUCGAUGACUUUGCUUAGAUCCGGUAAAGCGGAUUUAGACUUGUCCGUGGCCAGAAAUAAAGAAAUGAUUGCUGGUGACUUUCUGAGAAAAGCUCACCGACUCACCAACAGCUGCGUGGAAAUGGGAAAGUGCGUCGGCCAGCUGUCCGGCAGCCAGGAGCUUCUUCCCCAUCUCCAGGUAAGGUGAUAUCCAUCCAUCCAUCUUCAAUACUACUUAUCCUUCAGGGUCACGGGGAACCUGGCGCCUAUCCCAGGGAGCAUCGGGCACAAGUAUAUCCUGGACAGGCCAAUCCAUUACGGCACAAUCACAUACACACUCGCACACCCAUUCAUACACUACGGACACUUUUAGACAUGCCAAUCAGCCUACCAUGCAUGUCUUUGGACUGGGGGAGGAAACCGGAGUACCCGGAGGAAACCCCCACAGCACGGGGAGAACAUGAAAACUCCGCACACACAGGGCCUCAGUGGGAAUCGAGCCCCCGACCCUGGAGUGAGGCGAAUGUGCUAACCACUAAGCCACCAUCCACCUGGUAUUGUGAUAUCUUUUUUUUAGUAAUUACAAAAUAAAUUGAAUUGAAUGAAAGCAGCUAAUUAUAUGUAAAUUUGCUGAUGUUUUUAAAAGCCUAAUCUUUCAAAUA
Molecule: long non-coding RNA, 742 nt
Organism: Ictalurus punctatus (channel catfish)
Lineage: Eukaryota; Metazoa; Chordata; Actinopteri; Siluriformes; Ictaluridae
Exons: 3
Source: RefSeq, a predicted model, not a curated record